RNAcentral lists this ribosomal RNA (469 nucleotides) under uncultured bacterium. RNAcentral's name for it is "partial 16S ribosomal RNA". It matches the Rfam family "Bacterial small subunit ribosomal RNA", at positions 28 to 508 of the family's 1533-position model. The record is from RNAcentral.
GACGAACGCUGGCGGCGUGCUUAACACAUGCAAGUCGAACGGAAAGGCCCUGCUUUUGUGGGGUGCUCGAGUGGCGAACGGGUGAGUAACACGUGAGUAACCUGCCCUUGACUUUGGGAUAACUUCAGGAAACUGGGGCUAAUACCGGAUAGGAGCUCCUGCUGCAUGGUGGGGGUUGGAAAGUUUCGGCGGUUGGGGAUGGACUCGCGGCUUAUCAGCUUGUUGGUGGGGUAGUGGCUUACCAAGACUUUGACGGGUAGCCGGCCUGAGAGGGUGACCGGCCACAUUGGGACUGAGAUACGGCCCAGACUCCUACGGGAGGCAGCAGUGGGGAAUAUUGCACAAUGGGCGGAAGCCUGAUGCAGCAACGCCGCGUGCGGGAUGACGGCCUUCGGGUUGUAAACCGCUUUCGCCUGUGACGAAGCGUGAGUGACGGUAAUGGGUAAAGAAGCACCGGCUAACUACGUGC